Molecule: long non-coding RNA, 611 nt
Filed under: Micromonas commoda
Lineage: Eukaryota; Viridiplantae; Chlorophyta; Mamiellophyceae; Mamiellales; Mamiellaceae
Description: long non-coding RNA (MCOM_LNC000229)
Source: RNAcentral
GAACUAAUACUCACUAGAGAAACCCAUCGAGGCACACGCCACGCGCGUGUACCCCGAGCCAAGCGCCCUCGCCGGGCCGCCGCCGCCGCGUUUUUUUGAAAAACCGAACUCUGAUUCGCACUCGAUCUCGAGUCGUGCGUCGGAGAGCCCGUUUAGGUUUAGCGGGGGGAGACGGUGAUCUCGGACUCCGGGGCGGUGAGGGUGCCGUUCUUAAGCUCGAAGAACGCCUUCACGGGCCACGCACCAGCCGCCAUCAUCAGGCCGAGCGCGGUGGGCACGUCGAUGAUGAUCUCACCCUCGGUGGGCUUCGCCUUCUCCUUGUUGAGCAUGACGUAAGAGCGGCCGGCGUAGCCGAUCCAGCCGGCGACGUAGAGGAAGCCGAGGCCGGGGAUGGCGAACUCGCCGAGGUGCUCGAGGUUACCGUCCACGAUCAGGUGGGGCAGGCCGUCGGCGCCGCAGAGGAGGCCAGCCUCGCCGUAGUUCUUGAAGCGCUGGGACGUCUUGUCCAUGGUCGCCUUGAGAGCGAGCGCGGGGGCAGACUCGGGGUCGUACUUCUUGAGGCGCUUCUCGAGAGCCUUGAUCUCCUGCUUCUCGCGCUUGGCGAACGCCUU